Molecule: long non-coding RNA, 93 nt
Filed under: Pongo abelii (Sumatran orangutan)
Lineage: Eukaryota; Metazoa; Chordata; Mammalia; Primates; Hominidae
Description: lincRNA
Source: RNAcentral
AGACUAAGUCUCACUAUGUUGUCCAGGCUGAUGUCUAACUCCUGGGCUCAAGUAAUCUGCAUACCUCAGCCUCCCAAAGUGCUAGGAUUACAG